GAUGAACGCUGGCGGCGUGCCUAAUACAUGCAAGUCGAGCGAACAGAUGAGGAGCUUGCUCCUCUGACGUUAGCGGCGGACGGGUGAGUAACACGUGGAUAACCUACCUAUAAGACUGGGAUAACUUCGGGAAACCGGAGCUAAUACCGGAUAAUAUAUUGAACCGCAUGGUUCAAUAGUGAAAGACGGUUUUGCUGUCACUUAUAGAUGGAUCCGCGCCGCAUUAGCUAGUUGGUAAGGUAACGGCUUACCAAGGCAACGAUGCGUAGCCGACCUGAGAGGGGGAUCGGCCACACUGGAACUGAGACGCGGUCCAGACUACUACGGGAGGCAGCAGUAGGGAAUAUUCCGCAAUGGGGGGAAGCCUGACGGAGCAACGCCGCGUGAGUGAUGAAGGUCUUCGGAUCGUAAAACUCUGUUAUUAGGGAAGAACAAAUGUGUAAGUAACUAUGCACGUCUUGACGGUACCUAAUCAGAAAGCCACGGCUAACUACGUG
RNAcentral lists this ribosomal RNA (497 nucleotides) under uncultured bacterium. RNAcentral describes it as "partial 16S ribosomal RNA". It matches the Rfam family "Bacterial small subunit ribosomal RNA", at positions 28 to 507 of the family's 1533-position model. The record is from RNAcentral.